CAGCACUCACAAGCCACCCUGGCCGCUUCUGUCACUGCCCUCAAGUAACCUCUGUCCUGACUUCUAACAUGACAGACUGAGGCUGGUUUGCUCGCUGGCUGCUGAGACGGUGACAGGAGCAUGGCGUAGCAGGCAGUGGGUGGAGUGGGUUGAGUCGGCAAACCUGGGUUCAAAAUGUGCCUCAGUGCUGGCUGGUCAUGUGACUGUGGCAGUUACACAGCCUCCAGGAGCCUCAGUCCCUCUUUUAUGCAGCAAGACCACGCUGGACCUGCCAGGUUGCUGUGAAAAACAUUAGUAACAUGCACCAGGCCCAGCCCAGGGCUUGGCAUGUGAGGAGUGGCACUGAGCAUCACUGUCAUUGGUGUUAUUUCCAUUUUUGCACUUGUGGUGAGAUGGCAGGUGGCCUGUGGCCCUGGCAGGCCUUGUGUAGCUGUGGCGAGAGCUGUGGACAGCCAGAGCCUUCGAGACAGCUGACAACUGCUUUAUGGCAUCCCAGAGAAAUCAUCCUGCACCUGACUGUCAAUUAGCUCAAAAGGCAACCUGAGGGAUCGGCCCCUUGGCCAAGUGGCCACGAGGCCAGGCCCCCAUUUCAGUUCUUAAUGUCACAAAAUUACAUCUUUAGGCACUGAGAGUCCAAAAACAGAUACUAAGAAUUGGGGUUUUUAAUAUUUUAGUCUUUUAAAUGUAGAAAACAAAACAUGGAGCUACAAACCAAGUUACAACAGUACCAGCUUUUAUAAUCAUCCACAUACUUACUUUGACCAGAGGCCUUUAUUUCUGCUUAAGUCGUUGAGUUCCUGUCCAGUAUCCUUUCCUUUCAGCCUGAAGGACUCCCCUUGCUGGAGGCAGGUCUGGAGUACAGCACUCUCUCAGCCGUGGGUUCUAUGGGAAUGUCUUAAUUCCUCCCUCAUGUUUUAAGGACAGUUCUGCCAGAUAUAGGAUUCUUGGUUGGAUUCUUUUUUCCUUCUGCACUUUGAGUACAUCAGCCCAUGCCCUCUGGCCUCCAAGGUUUCUGGUGAGAAAUCAGCUCCUGAUCUUACUGGGGAAAAUAUGAUGAAAGCUCUCUUCCUCUCAGCUUUAUGAAUGUUAAUGCUGUCCCUUCUCAUGUCUUAUGCAACAGAACGUCUUCCUAUAGGAAUAUCCUUUAAGUUGUAGGAUCACUUUGAGACUAAUGAGAGUUUAAAGAAAAGGAGUUGAGUAUUUUAAGUGUAGAUAUUUUGACGUCUUUAACAGCCAAAAAUUAUGAGAUUUUAAAAUUAGAAAUGAAAAGGCCACUGAAGCAUCUUACAGAUUUUAAUUUCUAAUAAAGUAAAUAUCACUAAUAUCCCAAAUAAAACAAAAAUCUCUUUGGGGUCCCUUUGUUUCAG
This 1367-nucleotide long non-coding RNA is filed under the name Equus caballus (horse). RNAcentral describes it as "lncRNA (ENSECAG00000047896.1)". The record is from RNAcentral. Lineage: Eukaryota; Metazoa; Chordata; Mammalia; Perissodactyla; Equidae.